AUACGGAGGAUCCGAGCGUUAUCCGGAUUUAUUGGGUUUAAAGGGUGCGCAGGCGGCCAUUUAAGUCAGCGGUUAAAUCGUGGGGCUCAACCCCAUUCUGCCGUUGAUACUGGGUGGCUUGAUUGCCGUCGAGGGUGGCGGAAUUCGUAGUGGAGCGGGGAAAUGCAUAGAUAUGACGAAGAACACCGAUUGCGUAGGCAGCUGACCAGACCGCAAAUGACGCUCAUGCACGAAAGUGCGGGGAUCGAACAGGAUUAGAUACCCUGGUAGUCCGCACAGUAAACGAUGAAUACUUGUUUUCGGCGAUAUAAUGUCGGAGGCAAAGCGAAAGCGAUAAGUAUUCCACCUGGGGAGUACGCCGGCAACGGUGAAACUUAAAGGAAUUGACGGGG
RNAcentral lists this ribosomal RNA (392 nucleotides) under uncultured bacterium. RNAcentral describes it as "partial 16S ribosomal RNA". It matches the Rfam family "Bacterial small subunit ribosomal RNA", at positions 523 to 918 of the family's 1533-position model. The record is from RNAcentral.